Molecule: long non-coding RNA, 1381 nt
Organism: Homo sapiens (human)
Lineage: Eukaryota; Metazoa; Chordata; Mammalia; Primates; Hominidae
Gene: HSFY1P1
Product: HSFY1 pseudogene 1
Source: Ensembl
UACUGAAGCAGCAUUUGAAGCUGCAGUCUUGAAACACAUGCAGGCUGGAAAAGUCGCUAAAGAAUUACUUAUUUGAGAUGGCACAUGUUUCUGCAGAAACUCAAGAUGUUUCUCCUAAAGAUGAAUCAACUGGUUCAAAAGCCUCCUCUGGGUCUCCAUUGUGUGAACACAUAAUCCCUGGGGAUUCAGACUUAAGGUCAAUGACUGAAUCAAUGAUUUUCAGGUUUUGCCACAAGGAUCCUUGAUAAAAAGGCCACAUUAUACUUUAUGUCUCUGAGCCAGAUAAAGAUAAUGAUUUUCCUUCUCUGACCUUUCCCAGUAAACUUUGGAAAAUAGCUGAAAGUGACCAAUUCAAGUCUAAUUCAUAGGAUAAGAAUGAAACUUGCAUAGUGACUAAUGAAGAACUCUUCAAGAAAGAAAAUUUGGAAAUAAAGGCUCCUUACAGAAUAUUUCAAACUGACAGUAUGAAAAUCUUAAUUUGACAGCUCAACCUUUAUGGAUUUAGUAAAAUUCAACAGAAUUUUCACAGAUCUGCUUUUCUAGCCAACUUUCUGGCAGAAGAAAAAGAAAUUUCUGUUUUAAGCAAGUUAAAGUUGUAUUAUCAUCCGAAUUUCAAACGUGGCUGUCCCCAACUUUUAAUAAGAACGAAAAGAAGAAUUAAGAUUAAAAACACUUCUCUUGUAUCUACUUCACUGAAUAUUUCAAGAAACACUUUAGAGCAGGGGCUAACACAGAUAAACAUAAUUCUGUCUUAGCUGCUGAAACUAGUGAAGAAAGUUCAUUUUCAACAUCUACAAAUUUAAAUAUGACUCUAACAAGGAAAUCUUCUGUCAGCCAGGGCAUUGCUGGUUCACCUGACCCAAUUAGAAGUGGUUUCCCUCCUCUUCCAUUUCAACCUCAGUUGGACAAUCAGAACAAAUUACAACAAAUCAACAUGCUAUUUUAAAUCAAUUGACAAAUAUUCAUAUGCACUCUCAUAGCACCGACAUGUAAGCAAAUGGCCACGUUGUGAAUUUUGUUACAACCACAGCUUCUCAAUACUACAUCAUAUCUCCCUCCUUUGGGGCUGAUAGUGAAACCACCUACUUUUUCCCACCAGAUAUCCUGAGGUAUUAGCCAAUGAGGCUCCUCAUUCUAACCUGCUACCAGCAGGCAACCUGUGGUUGUAAAUGACUGCGACAGCUGAUACAUCAGUUGCCUUUCGUUACAGGCCAGCUCUUCAACCAUCUUUACUGGAAAAAUAUCACCCUAGUUACAACUGAUCUUCCACCAAAAGAGUACCAGAUUAUGCAUGACAACAGAGACUGAAAUUUAUGUUGACAAGAACAUUAAAAAUUCCUGCAAUAAUCUUACUGAACAAUAAAAUUACAUGUUGACCUUU